CGGUAAGCCUGAAUACUCCCUGGUGACCGAUAGCGGACUAGUACCGUGAGGGAAAGGUGAAAAGUACCCCGGGAGGGGAGUGAAAUAGUACCUGAAACCGUGCGCUUACAAUCCGUCAGAGCCUGCGAGUGACUUUGUUGCUGUGGGUGAUGGCGUGCCUUUUGAAGAAUGAGCCUGCGAGUUAGUGGCAUGUGGCGAGGUUAACCCGUGUGGGGUAGCCGUAGCGAAAGCGAGUCCGAAUAGGGCGUUGAGUCGCGUGUUCUAGACCC
Molecule: ribosomal RNA, 269 nt
Filed under: Nocardia farcinica
Lineage: Bacteria; Bacillati; Actinomycetota; Actinomycetes; Mycobacteriales; Nocardiaceae
Description: partial 23S ribosomal RNA
Rfam family: Bacterial large subunit ribosomal RNA
Source: RNAcentral